Molecule: ribosomal RNA, 382 nt
Filed under: uncultured bacterium
Lineage: Bacteria
Description: bacterial SSU rRNA
Rfam family: Bacterial small subunit ribosomal RNA
Source: RNAcentral
UACGAAGGGGGCUAGCGUUGUUCGGAAUUACUGGGCGUAAAGCGCACGUAGGCGGUUUUCCAAGUUGGAGGUGAAAUCCCCGGGCUUAACCCGGGAACUGCCUCCAAAACUGGGACACUCGAGUCCGAGAGAGGUGAGUGGAAUUUCCAGUGUAGAGGUGAAAUUCGUAGAUAUUGGAAAGAACACCAGUGGCGAAGGCGGCUCACUGGCUCGGUACUGACGCUGAGGAGCGACAGCGUGGGGAGCAAACAGGAUUAGAUACCCUGGUAGUCCACGCCGUAAACUAUGGGUGCUAGUUGUCGGGCAGCUUGCUGUUCGGUGACGCAGCUAACGCAUUAAGCACCCCGCCUGGGGAGUACGGUCGCAAGAUUAAAACUCAAAG